RNAcentral lists this ribosomal RNA (253 nucleotides) under uncultured bacterium. RNAcentral's name for it is "partial 16S ribosomal RNA". It matches the Rfam family "Bacterial small subunit ribosomal RNA", at positions 524 to 776 of the family's 1533-position model. The record is from RNAcentral.
UACGAAGGGGGCUAGCGUUGUUCGGAAUUACUGGGCGUAAAGAGCGCAAAGGCGGUUUGCUAAGUCAGGUGUGAAAGCCCGAGGCUCAACCUCGGAACUGCACCUGAAACUGGUUUACUAGAGUUUGAUAGGGGGUAGUGGAAUUCCUAGUGUAGGGGUGAAAUCCGUAGAUAUUAGGAGGAACACCAAUGGCGAAGGCAACUAUCUGGAUCAAUACUGACGCUGCAGUGCGAAAGCGUGGGGAGCAAACGGG